GCUUUCUUAGCUCAAUUGGUUAGAGCUACCGACUCUUAAUCGGAGGGUUAUAGGUUCAAGUCCUAUAGAGAGCA
Molecule: transfer RNA, 74 nt
Filed under: Pectobacterium phage My1
Lineage: Duplodnaviria; Heunggongvirae; Uroviricota; Caudoviricetes; Demerecviridae
Rfam family: tRNA
About the family: Transfer RNA (tRNA) molecules are approximately 80 nucleotides in length. Their secondary structure includes four short double-helical elements and three loops (D, anti-codon, and T loops).
Source: Rfam by way of RNAcentral